GGCCCUGUCGUCUAACGGUUAGGACGCUAGAUUCUGACUCUAGCAAUCUGAGUUCAAAUCUCAGCAGGACCUCCA
RNAcentral lists this transfer RNA (75 nucleotides) under Badhamia polycephala. RNAcentral's name for it is "Physarum polycephalum tRNA-Glu". It matches the Rfam family "tRNA". From Rfam's summary of the family: Transfer RNA (tRNA) molecules are approximately 80 nucleotides in length. Their secondary structure includes four short double-helical elements and three loops (D, anti-codon, and T loops). Further hydrogen bonds mediate the characteristic L-shaped molecular structure. tRNAs have two regions of fundamental functional importance: the anti-codon, which is responsible for specific mRNA codon recognition, and the 3' end, to which the tRNAs corresponding amino acid is attached (by aminoacyl-tRNA synthetases). tRNAs cope with the degeneracy of the genetic code in two manners: having more than one tRNA (with a specific anti-codon) for a particular amino acid; and 'wobble' base-pairing, i.e. permitting non-standard base-pairing at the 3rd anti-codon position. Lineage: Eukaryota; Evosea; Eumycetozoa; Physariida; Physaraceae. The record is from RNAcentral.